Lagenorhynchus albirostris (white-beaked dolphin) is the source of this 73-nucleotide non-coding RNA. Lineage: Eukaryota; Metazoa; Chordata; Mammalia; Artiodactyla; Delphinidae. The record is from the annotation of a RefSeq genome assembly.
UCCCUGGUGGUACAGUGGUUAAGACUCUGCGCUUCUAACGCAGGGGUCGUGGGUUCGAUCCCUGGCCAGGGAA